Molecule: ribosomal RNA, 409 nt
Filed under: uncultured Neisseria sp.
Lineage: Bacteria; Pseudomonadati; Pseudomonadota; Betaproteobacteria; Neisseriales; Neisseriaceae
Description: bacterial SSU rRNA
Rfam family: Bacterial small subunit ribosomal RNA
Source: RNAcentral
UCAGAUUGAACGCUGGCGGCAUGCUUUACACAUGCAAGUCUAACGGCAGCACGAAAGAGCUUGCUUUUUUGGUGGCGAGUGGCGAACGGGUGAGUAAUACAUUGGAACGUACCGAGUAAUGGGGGAUAACUGUCCGAAAGGAUGGCUAAUACCGCAUACGCUCUGAGGAGGAAAGCGGGGGACCUUCGGGCCUCGCGUUAUUCGAGCGGCCAAUGUNUGAUUAGCUAGUUGGUGGGGUAAAGGCCUACCAAGGCGACGAUCAGUAGUGGGUCUGAGAGGAUGAUCCGCCACACUGGGACUGAGACACGGCCCAGACUCCUACGGGAGGCAGCAGUGGGGAAUUUUGGACAAUGGGCGAAAGCCUGAUCCAGCCAUGCCGCGUGUCUGAAGAAGGCCUUCGGGUUGUAAA